Temnothorax curvispinosus is the source of this 257-nucleotide long non-coding RNA. RefSeq lists it as uncharacterized. The transcript has 3 exons. The record is from RefSeq and is a predicted model, not a curated record. Lineage: Eukaryota; Metazoa; Arthropoda; Insecta; Hymenoptera; Formicidae.
CAAAUGUGGACAUUUAUGAUUUCAACGUUCCAAAAGAUGUACCUGUUUCACAGCUCAAUGGAAAAAAACGUAAACGUUUUCAUGAUAUUCUUGAAAAGUUAUAUUCAGACAAAAAAUCAGAUUGUGUUAAAAAGAAGUUAUCUUAACAAAAGAUAGUAAAUAAAAAGCAAGGAAAUUUAUCACUGGAAAUUGAAAAUUCAUCAUUGGAAGUAGAUGAAAUAGAAAACAAGAAGACUUUUAUUAAAAGAAUUCUACAU